GCGCUGGUAGCUCAGCUGGAUAGAGUACUUGACUACGAAUCAAGGGGUCGGGGGUUCGAGUCCCUUCCAGCGCACCA
This 77-nucleotide transfer RNA is filed under the name Oscillospiraceae bacterium. RNAcentral's name for it is "tRNA-Arg". It matches the Rfam family "tRNA". From Rfam's summary of the family: Transfer RNA (tRNA) molecules are approximately 80 nucleotides in length. The record is from RNAcentral. Lineage: Bacteria; Bacillati; Bacillota; Clostridia; Eubacteriales; Oscillospiraceae.